RNAcentral lists this ribosomal RNA (221 nucleotides) under Clostridioides difficile. Its description in RNAcentral is "partial 23S ribosomal RNA". It matches the Rfam family "Bacterial large subunit ribosomal RNA", at positions 410 to 633 of the family's 2925-position model. Lineage: Bacteria; Bacillati; Bacillota; Clostridia; Peptostreptococcales; Peptostreptococcaceae. The record is from RNAcentral.
GAGUACCACGGGACACGUGAAACCCUGUGGGAAGCAGGAGGGACCACCCUCCAAGGCUAAAUACUACCUAGUGACCGAUAGCGUAUAGUACCGUGAGGGAAAGGUGAAAAGAACCCCGGGAGGGGAGCGAAAUAGAACCUGAAACCCUGCACUUACAAGCUGUGGAAGCACAUUUCUUGUGUGACCGCGUACUUUUUGUAGAACGGGCCAACGAGUUACGU